Molecule: ribosomal RNA, 355 nt
Filed under: uncultured Mollicutes bacterium
Lineage: Bacteria; Bacillati; Mycoplasmatota; Mollicutes
Description: bacterial SSU rRNA
Rfam family: Bacterial small subunit ribosomal RNA
Source: RNAcentral
CAAUGGAUACAGGUGGUGCAUGGUUGUCGUCAGCUCGUGCCGUGAGGUGUUGGGUUAAGUCCCGCAACGAGCGCAACCCUCAUUGUUAGUUACUACCAUUCAGUUGAGGACUCUAAUGAGACUGCCAACGACAAGUUGGAGGAAGGUGGGGAUGACGUCAAAUCAUCAUGCCCUUUAUGACCUGGGCUACAAACGUACUACAAUGGCCAAUACAAAGAGAUGCGAAGCGGUGACGUGAAGCGAACCCCAGAAAGUUGGUCUCAGUUCAGAUUGAAGUCUGCAACUCGACUUCAUGAAGGCGGAAUCGCUAGUAAUCGCGGGUCAGCAGACCGCGGUGAAUACGUUCCCGGGUUUU